GUGAGGAAUAUUGGACAAUGGGCGCAAGCCUGAUCCAGCCAUGCCGCGUGCAGGAAGACGCAUCUAUGGUGUGUAAACUGCUUUUGUACGGGAAGAAACACUCCCUCGUGAGGGAGCUUGACGGUACCGUAAGAAUAAGGAUCGGCUAACUCCGUGCCAGCAGCCGCGGUAAUACGGAGGAUCCAAGCGUUAUCCGGAAUCAUUGGGUUUAAAGGAUCCGUAGGCGGUUUAAUAAGUCAGUGGUGAAAGCCCAUCGCUCAACGAUGGAACGGCCAUUGAUACUGUUAGACUUGAAUUACAAGGAAGUAACUAGAAUAUGUAGUGUAGCGGUGAAAUGCUUAGAUAUUACAUGGAAUACCAAUUGCGAAGGCAGGUUACUACUUGUGGAUUGACGCUGAUGGACGAAAGCGUGGGGAGCGAACAGGAUUAGAAACCCCUGUAGUCC
This 445-nucleotide ribosomal RNA is filed under the name uncultured bacterium. RNAcentral describes it as "partial 16S ribosomal RNA". It matches the Rfam family "Bacterial small subunit ribosomal RNA", at positions 354 to 796 of the family's 1533-position model. The record is from RNAcentral.